UGCAAGUCGAACGAACUCUGGUAUUGAUUGGUGCUUGCAUCAUGAUUUACAUUUGAGUGAGUGGCGAACUGGUGAGUAACACGUGGGAAACCUGCCCAGAAGCGGGGGAUAACACCUGGAAACAGAUGCUAAUACCGCAUAACAACUUGGACCGCAUGGUCCGAGCUUGAAAGAUGGCUUCGGCUAUCACUUUUGGAUGGUCCCGCGGCGUAUUAGCUAGAUGGUGGGGUAACGGCUCACCAUGGCAAUGAUACGUAGCCGACCUGAGAGGGUAAUCGGCCACAUUGGGACUGAGACACGGCCCAAACUCCUACGGGAGGCAGCAGUAGGGAAUCUUCCACAAUGGACGAAAGUCUGAUGGAGCAACGCCGCGUGAGUGAAGAAGGGUUUCGGCUCGUAAAACUCUGUUGUUAAAGAAGAACAUAUCUGAGAGUAACUGUUCAGGUAUGACGG
RNAcentral lists this ribosomal RNA (453 nucleotides) under Lactiplantibacillus plantarum. RNAcentral's name for it is "bacterial SSU rRNA". It matches the Rfam family "Bacterial small subunit ribosomal RNA", at positions 56 to 475 of the family's 1533-position model. The record is from RNAcentral. Lineage: Bacteria; Bacillati; Bacillota; Bacilli; Lactobacillales; Lactobacillaceae.